GAUGAACGCUGGCGGCGUGCCUAAUACAUGCAAGUCGAGCGAACGGACGAGAAGCUUGCUUUUCUGAUGUUAGCGGCGGACGGGUGAGUAACACGUGGAUAACCUACCUAUAAGACUGGGAUAACUUCGGGAAACCGGAGCUAAUACCGGAUAAUAUUUUGAACCGCAUGGUUCAAAAGUGAAAGACGGUCUUGCUGUCACUUAUAGAUGGAUCCGCGCUGCAUUAGCUAGUUGGUAAGGUAACGGCUUACCAAGGCAACGAUGCAUAGCCGACCUGAGAGGGUGAUAGGCCACACUGGAACUGAGACACGGUCCAGACUCCUAAGGGAGGCAGCAGUAGGGAAUCUUCCGCAAUGGGCGAAAGCCUGACGGAGCAACGCCGCGUGAGUGAUGAAGGUCUUCGGAUCGUAAAACUCUGUUAUUAGGGAAGAACAUAUGUGUAAGUAACUGUGCACAUCUUGACGGUACCUAAUCAGAAAGCCACGGCUAACUACGUG
Molecule: ribosomal RNA, 497 nt
Filed under: uncultured bacterium
Lineage: Bacteria
Description: partial 16S ribosomal RNA
Rfam family: Bacterial small subunit ribosomal RNA
Source: RNAcentral